Molecule: small nuclear RNA, 102 nt
Organism: Octodon degus (degu)
Lineage: Eukaryota; Metazoa; Chordata; Mammalia; Rodentia; Octodontidae
Source: Ensembl
UUGCUACAGCAGCAAAUAUACUAGAAUUGGAAAAAUGCAUAGAAAAUUGGCCAGGCCUUGCACAAGAAUGUUAUACACAUUUACGAAUAAUUUCUAUCUUUC